CAGCAGCCGCGGUAAUACGUAGGUCCCGAGCGUUGUCCGGAUUUAUUGGGCGUAAAGCGAGCGCAGGCGGUUAGAUAAGUCUGAAGUUAAAGGCUGUGGCUUAACCAUAGUACGCUUUGGAAACUGUUUAACUUGAGUGCAAGAGGGGAGAGUGGAAUUCCAUGUGUAGCGGUGAAAUGCGUUGAGAUCGGAAAGAACACCAACGGCGAAAGCACUCUGCUGGGCCGACACUGACACUGAGAGACGAAAGCUAGGGGAGCAAAUGGGAUUAGAGACCCCGGUAGUCCCUGUCUCUUAUACC
This 301-nucleotide ribosomal RNA is filed under the name uncultured bacterium. RNAcentral's name for it is "partial 16S ribosomal RNA". It matches the Rfam family "Bacterial small subunit ribosomal RNA", at positions 509 to 808 of the family's 1533-position model. The record is from RNAcentral.